Molecule: long non-coding RNA, 267 nt
Filed under: Brassica napus (rape)
Lineage: Eukaryota; Viridiplantae; Streptophyta; Magnoliopsida; Brassicales; Brassicaceae
Description: long non-coding RNA (BNAP_LNC021993)
Source: RNAcentral
AUUCUUAAAAUACAUGUUCCUAAUAAAAUUUAUAAAAAUGUAUCGUUUAGUCUGUAAAUAUAAUUUUAAUAGAAUCUCCUCGGAGUGGCUUUGGUCUGAAAACUAUUUAUUUGAUUUAGGCAAUACUUAAAAAAUAUUAAUUAUCUAUUUAGUACUGGCACUUUAAAAAGUUCAAACUCUCUCUGACACGGUUCCCUAUGCAGACUGUGUGGAAUGUCCCUGGCCGUGCUUCCGGCGUAAGUCCUGCGGCGUUUGCUUCUGGUGAAC